Molecule: transfer RNA, 67 nt
Filed under: Ctenolepisma longicaudatum (long-tailed silverfish)
Lineage: Eukaryota; Metazoa; Arthropoda; Insecta; Zygentoma; Lepismatidae
Description: tRNA-Thr
Source: RNAcentral
GCUUUCAUAAUUUAUCAAAAAUAAUGGUCUUGUAAAUCAUAAAAGGGUCUCUUUUACCCUGAAAGCA